GAGCUUGCUCCCGGAUGUUAGCGGCGGACGGGUGAGUAACACGUGGGUAACCUGCCUGUAAGACUGGGAUAACUCCGGGAAACCGGAGCUAAUACCGGAUAGUUCCUUGAACCGCAUGGUUCAAGGAUGAAAGACGGUUUCGGCUGUCACUUACAGAUGGACCCGCGGCGCAUUAGCUAGUUGGUGGGGUAAUGGCUCACCAAGGCGACGAUGCGUAGCCGACCUGAGAGGGUGAUCGGCCACACUGGGACUGAGACACGGCCCAGACUCCUACGGGAGGCAGCAGUAGGGAAUCUUCCGCAAUGGACGAAAGUCUGACGGAGCAACGCCGCGUGAGUGAUGAAGGUUUUCGGAUCGUAAAGCUCUGUUGUUAGGGAAGAACAAGUGCGAGAGUAACUGCUCGCACCUUGACGGUACCUAACCAGAAAGCCACGGCUAACUACGUGCCAGCAGCCGCGGUAAUACGUAGGUGGCAAGCGUUGUCCGGAAUUAUUGGGCGUAAAGGGCUCGCAGGCGGUUUCUUAAGUCUGAUGUGAAAGCCCCCGGCUCAACCGGGGAGGGUCAUUGGAAA
This 571-nucleotide ribosomal RNA is filed under the name Bacillus sp. CH104b_3D. RNAcentral describes it as "bacterial SSU rRNA". It matches the Rfam family "Bacterial small subunit ribosomal RNA", at positions 76 to 632 of the family's 1533-position model. The record is from RNAcentral. Lineage: Bacteria; Bacillati; Bacillota; Bacilli; Caryophanales; Bacillaceae.